CACUAUCGUUAACUGAAUACAUAGGUUAACGAGGCGAACCGGGGGAACUGAAACAUCUAAGUACCCCGAGGAAAAGAAAUCAACCGAGAUUCCCCCAGUAGCGGCGAGCGAACGGGGAGCAGCCCAGAGUCUGAAUCAGCUUGUGUGUUAGUGGAACGGUCUGGAAAGUCCGACGGUACAGGGUGAUAGUCCCGUACACCAAAAUGCACAGGUUGUGAACUCGAAGAGUAGGGCGGGACACGUGGUAUCCUGUCUGAAUAUGGGGGGACCAUCCUCCAAGGCUAAAUACUCCUGACUGACCGAUAGUGAACCAGUACCGUGAGGGAAAGGCGAAAAGAACCCCGGCGAGGGGAGUGAAAAAGAACCUGAAACCGUGUACGUACAAGCAGUGGGAGCACCUUCGGGUGUGACUGCGUACCUUUUGUAUAAUGGGUCAGCGACUUAUAUUCUGUAGCAAGGUUAACCGUAUAGGGGAGCCGCAGGGAAACCGAGUCUUAACUGGGCGUUAAGUUGCAGGGUAUAGACCCGAAACCCGGUGAUCUAGCCAUGGGCAGGUUGAAGGUUGGGUAACACUAACUGGAGGACCGAACCGACUAAUGUUGAAAAAUUAGCGGAUGACUUGUGGCUGGGGGUGAAAGGCCAAUCAAACCGGGAGAUAGCUGGUUCUCCCCGAAAGCUAUUUAGGUAGCGCCUCGUGAAUUCAUCUUCGGGGGUAGAGCACUGUUUCGGCUAGGGGGUCAUCCCGACUUACCAACCCGAUGCAAACUACGAAUACCGAAGAAUGUUAUCACGGGAGACACACGGCGGGUGCUAACGUCCGUCGUGAAGAGGGAAACAACCCAGACCGCCAGCUAAGGUCCCAAAGUCAUGGUUAAGUGGGAAACGAUGUGGGAAGGCACAGACAGCCAGGAUGUUGGCUUAGAAGCAGCCAUCAUUUAAAGAAAGCGUAAUAGCUCACUGGUCGAGUCGGCCUGCGCGGAAGAUGUAACGGGGCUAAACCAUGCACCGAAGCUGCGGCAGCGACACUAUGUGUUGUUGGGUAGGGGAGCGUUCUGUAAGCCUGCGAAGGUGUGCUGUGAGGCAUGCUGGAGGUAUCAGAAGUGCGAAUGCUGACAUAAGUAACGAUAAAGCGGGUGAAAAGCCCGCUCGCCGGAAGACCAAGGGUUCCUGUCCAACGUUAAUCGGGGCAGGGUGAGUCGACCCCUAAGGC
This 1210-nucleotide ribosomal RNA is filed under the name Klebsiella pneumoniae. RNAcentral's name for it is "partial 23S ribosomal RNA". It matches the Rfam family "Bacterial large subunit ribosomal RNA", at positions 146 to 1397 of the family's 2925-position model. The record is from RNAcentral. Lineage: Bacteria; Pseudomonadati; Pseudomonadota; Gammaproteobacteria; Enterobacterales; Enterobacteriaceae.